Molecule: ribosomal RNA, 497 nt
Filed under: uncultured bacterium
Lineage: Bacteria
Description: partial 16S ribosomal RNA
Rfam family: Bacterial small subunit ribosomal RNA
Source: RNAcentral
UAUUCACUCUGGCGGCGUGCCUAAUACAUGCAAGUCGAGCGAACGGACGAGAAGCUUGCUUCUCUGAUGUUAGCGGCGGACGGGUGAGUAACACGUGGAUAACCUACCUAUAAGACUGGGAUAACUUCGGGAAACCGGAGCUAAUACCGGAUGAUAUUUUGAACCGCAUGGUUCAAAAGUGAAAGACGGUCUUGCUGUCACUUAUAGAUGGAUCCGCGCUGCAUUAGCUAGUUGGUAAGGUAACGGCUUACCAAGGCAACGAUGCAUAGCCGACCUGAGAGGGUGAUCGGCCACACUGGAACUGAGACACGGUCCAGACUCCUACGGGAGGCAGCAGUAGGGAAUCCUCCGCAAUGGGCGAAAGCCUGACGGAGCAACGCCGCGUGAGUGAUGAAGGUCUUCGGAUCGUAAAACUCUGUUAUUAGGGAAGAACAUAUGUGUAAGUAACUGUGCACAUCUUGACGGUACCUAAUCAGAAAGCCACGGCUAACUACGUG